This 303-nucleotide ribosomal RNA is filed under the name uncultured bacterium. Its description in RNAcentral is "bacterial SSU rRNA". It matches the Rfam family "Bacterial small subunit ribosomal RNA", at positions 355 to 673 of the family's 1533-position model. The record is from RNAcentral.
UGGGGAAUUUUCCGCAAUGGGCGAAAGCCUGACGGAGCAAUGCCGCGUGGAGGUGGAAGGCCUACGGGUCGUCAACUUCUUUUCUCGGAGAAGAAACAAUGACGGUAUCUGAGGAAUAAGCAUCGGCUAACUCUGUGCCAGCAGCCGCGGUAAGACAGAGGAUGCAAGCGUUAUCCGGAAUGAUUGGGCGUAAAGCGUCUGUAGGUGGCUUUUCAAGUCCGCCGUCAAAUCCCAGGGCUCAACCCUGGACAGGCGGUGGAAACUACCAAGCUGGAGUACGGUAGGGGCAGAGGGAAUUUCCGG